This 467-nucleotide ribosomal RNA is filed under the name uncultured bacterium. Its description in RNAcentral is "partial 16S ribosomal RNA". It matches the Rfam family "Bacterial small subunit ribosomal RNA", at positions 28 to 507 of the family's 1533-position model. The record is from RNAcentral.
GACGAACGCUGGCGGCGUGCUUAACACAUGCAAGUCGAACGGAAAGGCCCUGCUUUUGUGGGGUGCUCGAGUGGCGAACGGGUGAGUAACACGUGAGUAACCUGCCCUUGACUUUGGGAUAACUUCAGGAAACUGGGGCUAAUACCGGAUAGGAGCUCCUGCUGCAUGGUGGGGGUUGGAAAGUUUCGGCGGUUGGGGAUGGACUCGCGGCUUAUCAGCUUGUUGGUGGGGUAGUGGCUUACCAAGGCUUUGACGGGUAGCCGGCCUGAGAGGGUGACCGGCAACAUGGGAACUGAGGUACGGCCCAGAUUCCUACGGGAGGCAGAGGUGGGGAAUAUUGACCAAGGGGCGGAGGCUGAUGCAGCAACGCCGCGUGCGGGAUGACGGCCUUCGGGUUGUAAACCGCUUUCGCCUGUGACGAAGCGUGAGUGACGGUAAUGGGUAAAGAAGCACCGGCUAACUACGUG